CGGGGCUUAAUUGAACUUGUAAUUUAUUGUGACAGAUACCAUUAGCUAGACUGAUGUUGAAACCAUUCACUCUAAAGCAAAAAGUAGUCAAACUUUCAACUUAUGGUUGAAAAAACACAGUCUAAUUACAUAAAGAAAAAUUCUUGAAGCUACGGCAGCAGUGUCAAAAUGAAGGUGAAAGCAUUCCUUUGCUUUGUGUUUCUGUUACUGGUGCCCUUAUGUGGCACUUCUGCAGGAUCGAGCAUGGAGAAUCUUGAAGCCAAGAAGCAUUGGAAUCGUCUAAACGAGCGGCCUCCUCUUAGGUCCACCCAGGUCUGUCUAGAUGCCCUUUAUCUGUGUUUGUUUUAUACAAGAAUUAUCCAUGCCUGCGUCUCUGUGUCUUGUCUGUGUCUGUGUUUAUACUGUUUAUACAUUUAACAAGAUUUUGCAAUGUAAGAAAAUACUCGAAACAGUUGACAAAAUCUGUUAGUAUUUGAAACCUGUUCUUGAAUAGAAAUUGGAUAUUUACAAGUUUACCUUCUAAUUUUUAAACAAGAUAAUGCUAUCUUUACCAGAUCUGUGUAGAAGAUGAACUGUUCUUGCUUUUUACCCUCUCUUAUUUUCAGCUUUUCACAUUAUGAGAAAAGACAAGAUAUGUACUGUGUGCAUAUUAGAUGCUCAAAAUCUUAUCCCAACUAACAAAAGGUAAAGUUGUUGGGUUGGGCUUUAAUUAAUUGUGUUUUGGUCCAAUAUGGGUUUGACAAAAGUAUCAUAAGCAAGCUAGUAACAAACAUGUGUGAAUCUCAUUAUGACUGGAAUAUGCCAAACAUAAUAAUCCAAUAUUCUUAUACGUUGCCGGCAUAAUCAUACAAUAAUUACCCAGUAAAUACUAGAAAUUCAUAAGGAGAAUGCUUGCAAAUUUUGCACAACAAUAAUGCGUAUAUUGAAACUAUAAAUUACCGAUAGGUGAUUAUAUUAAUAUCACAACUUUUAUUUUGU
RNAcentral lists this long non-coding RNA (978 nucleotides) under Olea europaea subsp. europaea. The record is from RNAcentral. Lineage: Eukaryota; Viridiplantae; Streptophyta; Magnoliopsida; Lamiales; Oleaceae.